UACGAAGGGGCGUAGCGUUGUUCGGUAAUUACUGGCGGUAAAGACGCACGUAGGCGGAUAUUUAAGUUACAGGGGUGGAAAUACCCACGAGCUCAACUCUGGAACUGCCUUUGUAUACUGGGUAUCUUGAGUAUGGAAGAGGUAAGUGGAAUUGCGAGUGUAGAGGUGAAAUUCGUAGAUAUUCGCAGGAACACCAGUGGCGAAGGCGGCUUACUGGUCCAUUACUGACGCUGAGGUGCGAAAGCGUGGGGA
This 252-nucleotide ribosomal RNA is filed under the name uncultured bacterium. RNAcentral's name for it is "partial 16S ribosomal RNA". It matches the Rfam family "Bacterial small subunit ribosomal RNA", at positions 524 to 767 of the family's 1533-position model. The record is from RNAcentral.